RNAcentral lists this microRNA precursor (80 nucleotides) under Glycine max (soybean). RNAcentral's name for it is "miR167k stem-loop (gma-MIR167k)". Its record names the gene gma-MIR167k. The record is from miRBase by way of RNAcentral. Lineage: Eukaryota; Viridiplantae; Streptophyta; Magnoliopsida; Fabales; Fabaceae.
CUGGUUGAAGCUGCCAGCCUGAUCUUAACUUUUCUCUUUUAUUAGGAAAAGAUCAGAUCAUGUGGUAGCCUUCACCUAGU